Long non-coding RNA from Aphis gossypii (cotton aphid), 1793 nucleotides. RefSeq lists it as uncharacterized. Lineage: Eukaryota; Metazoa; Arthropoda; Insecta; Hemiptera; Aphididae. The record is from RefSeq and is a predicted model, not a curated record. The transcript is spliced from 2 exons.
CAUAAGGCAUAAGGGCAUAUUAACGUUUUUAGCAACUUUAACAAAAUUGAAAAUACCAAUACAUAUUGAUAUUAUAUAAUUAUUUUGUCAUUUUGCCAUGAUUAUUAGUUACUACAAAUUACAAUACUUAUUUCAAUUUUGUAUAAUAAUUCAACAUUGUUUUACUAAACACUAAACUCACAUUAAUAAAUAUGUUACCAGCAAUUGUUUCCUGAACAGAAGAAGGAAUUGGGAGAAAUUUUAUAUCAUUCUGAUGUCCAUGAUGUGUCUUACAAUAAGUUACAACAACGUUAUUAUCGGUGACUACUGUUCGAAUAAAAGAAGGACAGGAUUGAUCUAAUAGUCCAAUUAGAAAAAUAAAGCAUUUAAUGUUUAAAGUUAUCUAUAUAAUCUGAUCUAUUAUUAAGGAUAUAAAUUGAAUUAUUUGUACCCCUCGUUAUAAUAACACAUACCUAUUUUGCACGAUCCAGUAAUUUUUAAGGCACGUUCCCCCAUACUUUUACUAUGAAAUACUCCUGAACGAUGACAAUAGUACUUUCUUGUAGCUACAGUUUUAGUUUUAUUAAAUUUUAUCCCUCUGUGUUGAACAAAUUUAGUAGAUGAGCAUAUUUCUUCCCUCUCUUUCCAAUCAUUAAAUUCUACAAUUAAUUAACAAAAAAUGUUUAUAUAAUGUUAUUACUUCAUCAUAAAUAUAAUGUACAUCAUAUAUUUUACCUUGUAAUGAAGCAAAAUUAUGAGAAGUUAUUUCUAACUGAGGAUUAUUUUUCUCAAUUCCAGUGAAGUGGGUAACUUUUAUAUGUCGAGCUAAAUUAUAUUUUUUUUUAAAUUGGAUACUACAGUAUGCACAUUCAAAAUACAUAAUUAAAAAAAUAUAUCAAAAAUCAAUGUGCUAAAAUAUUUAAAAAUUAUCAAAUUAAAAAACGAUUUACUAAAAUAUUUAAGAACCAAUAUUAUUCAGACAUACAACAAAAUAUUCAUAUAGAAAAUGUUACAUUUAUAAAUCAGAAAGUUUCCACAGGUAAUAAAAAGUAAUAUAGAUAACAGUUGUAAAGAGGUUUUACCUGUAUUAAUUAAAUGCUGUGUGUAGGUAUGUCAAUACUGCAGACAAUGCAGUACAUAACUAUUUUAGGUAAUAAUAGAAAAAAUAUAGGGAAACGUGCCUUAAAAAUUAUUGGAUAGUGUGAAAUAGGUAUGUAAUAUAUUAUAUAUAGGUAUAUAAUUUAGAUUAUUUUUGACAAUGUACAUUAUAUUUAUGAUGAAGUAAUAAACUAAUAACAUUAUAUAUAAAUAUUUUGUUAAUUAAUUGUAGUAUUUAAUGAUUGGAAAGAGAGGGAAUAAAUAUGCUCAUCUACUAAAAUUCUUCAACACAGAGGGAUAAAAUUAAAUUAUGUAUAUAAUUAUGUAUUUCAUAGUAAAAAUAUCCCGCCUUAUUAAAUUAAAUUUAAUGUGUCCUGUUUUGCCAUUGUAUUGUAAUUUGUAGUUACUAAUAAUCAUAAAUUAAUUCUAAUGUAGAAUGAUACUCAUUAUGCAUGAAUGAACAUAUAAUGUUUAGCAAUUUUUGUAUUUGGAUAACCAUAAUUAAUUUAAAUGUACUUUUACCAAAAAAUUUAUAAAAUAUAUCCCCCCCCCCAUUGAAAUUUCCUGGGCACACCACUGUAAACAAUACCCUAAUAUUUUUAAUUUAACUUUUGGUGACCCCCCCCCCCCCAUAAAAAAAAAUCAUAAUUGCAAACUCAAUAUUAAUUAAUUUAUUAUUAUCAUCAAAUUCGUAAAUAUAUAUAUUAUUUAUUAUA